RNAcentral lists this ribosomal RNA (493 nucleotides) under uncultured bacterium. Its description in RNAcentral is "partial 16S ribosomal RNA". It matches the Rfam family "Bacterial small subunit ribosomal RNA", at positions 29 to 523 of the family's 1533-position model. The record is from RNAcentral.
AUUGAACGCUGGCGGCAUGCUUUACACAUGCAAGUCGAACGGUAACAGGUUAAGCUGACGAGUGGCGAACGGGUGAGUAAUGCAUCGGAACGUGCCCGGUCGUGGGGGAUAACGCAGCGAAAGCUGCGCUAAUACCACAUACGAUCGAAGGAUGAAAGCGGGGGACCGUAAGGCCUCGCGCGAUCGGAGCGGCCGAUGUCAGAUUAGGUAGUUGGUGGGGUAAAGGCUCACCAAGCCAACGAUCUGUAGCUGGUCUGAGAGGACGACCAGCCACACUGGGACUGAGACACGGCCCAGACUCCUACGGGAGGCAGCAGUGGGGAAUUUUGGACAAUGGGCGAAAGCCUGAUCCAGCAAUGCCGCGUGCAGGAAGAAGGCCUUCGGGUUGUAAACUGCUUUUGUACGGAGCGAAAAGGUCCCCUCUAAUACAGGGGGCUCAUGACGGUACCGUAAGAAUAAGCACCGGCUAACUACGUGCCAGCCGCCGCCGUAA